Molecule: non-coding RNA, 166 nt
Filed under: Mycoplasmopsis bovigenitalium
Lineage: Bacteria; Bacillati; Mycoplasmatota; Mycoplasmoidales; Metamycoplasmataceae
Also listed under: 1 other name
Description: Mycoplasma bovigenitalium Lysine sequence
Rfam family: Lysine riboswitch aptamer
About the family: Riboswitches are metabolite binding domains within certain messenger RNAs that serve as precision sensors for their corresponding targets. Allosteric rearrangement of mRNA structure is mediated by ligand binding, and this results in modulation of gene expression. This family includes riboswitches that sense lysine in a number of genes involved in lysine metabolism, including lysC.
Source: RNAcentral
AGAUACUAUAGAGGAGCUUUCCAUAAUAGUAAAUAGUUUAGCAGGCAUGCAAGGAUGCUAUUGAAAGGAUAGGGAGGCCGAAUCUUUAAUUUGGGCACAAAUUAAAGGUGGUAACAAUUCAUAACAGUUUGUUACUCUUUGGAAAUCCAUUGGCGCUAUAGUCUAC